This 357-nucleotide unclassified non-coding RNA is filed under the name uncultured fungus. Its description in RNAcentral is "partial contains 5.8S ribosomal RNA and internal transcribed spacer 2". The stretch from base 1 to 134 matches the Rfam family "5.8S ribosomal RNA", at positions 22 to 154 of the family's 154-position model. The record is from RNAcentral. Lineage: Eukaryota; Fungi.
UGGUUCUGGCAUCGAUGAAGAACGCAGCGAAAUGCGAUAAGUAAUGCGAAUUGCAGAAUUUCCGUGAGUCAUCGAAUCUUUGAACGCACAUUGCGCCCGUUGGUAUUCCGACGGGCAUGCCUGUUCGAGCGUCAUUAUCCCCCCUCCAGCCUCCGGGUUGGGCGUUGGGCCAGGACGGAGUUUCGACCCCGACCGGCCUCAAAGAGAAUGACGGCGUCCCUGGGACCCCCGGCACACUGAGCUUGUCACGAGCACGUGUCGCGGUUGGCCCUCGGCGGACCCGGUCGACCGGCCUUGCCUCACGGCGGGCCUCUUUUUCGUACGGUUGACCUCGGAUCAGGUAGGAUUACCCGCUGA